RNAcentral lists this unclassified non-coding RNA (229 nucleotides) under uncultured fungus. RNAcentral describes it as "sequence contains ITS1, 5.8S rRNA gene". The stretch from base 181 to 229 matches the Rfam family "5.8S ribosomal RNA", at positions 1 to 49 of the family's 154-position model. The record is from RNAcentral. Lineage: Eukaryota; Fungi.
UCUCCGUAGGUGAACCUGCGGAGGGAUCAUUACUGAGUGAGGGCCUUCGGGCUCGACCUCCAACCCCUUUGUUGUACCGACCCUGUUGCCUCGGGGGCGACCCUGCCGUUUCGACGGCGAGCGCCCCCGGAGGCCUUCAAACACUGCAUCUUUGCGUCGGAGUUUAAGUAAAUUAAACAAAACUUUCAACAACGGAUCUCUUGGUUCUGGCAUCGAUGAAGAACGCAGC